RNAcentral lists this long non-coding RNA (201 nucleotides) under Elaeis guineensis (African oil palm). RNAcentral describes it as "long non-coding RNA (EGUI_LNC013343)". The record is from RNAcentral. Lineage: Eukaryota; Viridiplantae; Streptophyta; Magnoliopsida; Arecales; Arecaceae.
GCUAACUGCACGCCAUAUAAUAGAACUGAAUCAUAUGCUUUGAACUAUAAUACAUAUAGGACUCAGAUAGAGAAAGUCUGGGAACCCGAUUUGUAAAUGUGAGGGUAAAGAUUGAGAAAUAUCAGGUUAAUAAUCCUGUAGAAAUUUAAUUUGGUUUUAGGUUCAUUAAGUCGCCCAAGCUCGGGAAAAAUUAAAAGAAAA